CAGUAGGCCGCGGGAAUACAGAGGGUGCGAGCGUUAAUCGGAUUUACUGGGCGUAAAGCGUGCGUAGGCGGCUUCUUAAGUCGGAUGUGAAAUCCCUGAGCUUAACUUAGGAAUUGCAUUCGAUACUGGGAAGCUAGAGUAUGGGAGAGGAUGGUAGAAUUCCAGGUGUAGCGGUGAAAUGCGUAGAGAUCUGGAGGAAUACCGAUGGCGAAGGCAGCCAUCUGGCCUAAUACUGACGCUGAGGUACGAAAGCAUGGGGAGCAAACAGGAUUAGAUACCCGCGUAGUCCCUGUCUCUUAUA
RNAcentral lists this ribosomal RNA (301 nucleotides) under uncultured bacterium. RNAcentral describes it as "partial 16S ribosomal RNA". It matches the Rfam family "Bacterial small subunit ribosomal RNA", at positions 509 to 808 of the family's 1533-position model. The record is from RNAcentral.